UUUGGGAUUGAAGUUGGUUUAUUUUUAGCUUUAUUCUUUUUUACUUUUAUAUUUCUAUAUGUAAAUUUUUGUGUGAAUUUUACUUUAUUUAAAUAGUUUUGUUAAAAUCUUAUUUGCAGUGGUUAUUUUUGAAUAUUAAGGUUACUUAGAUUCGGUAAAUAUAAUAAUAUUAGUAAAAAUUGUGCCAGCAACUGCGGUUAAACAAUUAAUAUGAAAAAAGAUUUUUAGUUUAUAAUUAAAAUAUUUUAUAAAUUUAUUUAAAUUAUUUAAAGGUGAAAUUUAAUUAAUUUUGUUUGUUUGUUUAAAUUUUUUGAGGUUAUUAAAUUUGUUUAUAAACUAGGAUUAGAUACCCUACUAUUAUAAUUUAAAAUUUUUACUUGGGGAGUAUUUGUUAAGAUCAUGAAAUUUAAGAAUUUUGGCGGUAUUUUAGUCUUUUUAGAGGAACCUGUCCAUUAAUUGAUAAUCCACGAUUAAUUUUACUUUGUUUAAUUAGCUUGUAUAUCGUCGUUAGAAGAAAAUUUUUAAAGAAUAUUAAUUUUCUUGUUUUUUAAUAAAAAUUUAUUUCAGAUCAAGAUGCAGUUUAUAACAGAGUUGAGAUGGGUUACUUUAAUUUUAUAAUUGGAAUUUUUUUUUAAUAUAGUUGAAUUGAAAUUGGAUUUAAUAGUAAUUUUUUAUUUUUUUUUAAAUAAGAUGAUUUUAGCUCUAAAAUAUGUACAUAUUGCCCGUCACUCUCAUUUUUAAGGUGAGAUAAGUCGUAACAUAGUAGGUGUACUGGAAAGUGUACCUGGAAUUA
This 793-nucleotide non-coding RNA is filed under the name Tenomerga trabecula. Lineage: Eukaryota; Metazoa; Arthropoda; Insecta; Coleoptera; Cupedidae. The record is from RNAcentral.